Molecule: ribosomal RNA, 310 nt
Filed under: uncultured bacterium
Lineage: Bacteria
Description: bacterial SSU rRNA
Rfam family: Bacterial small subunit ribosomal RNA
Source: RNAcentral
AUUGAACGCUGGCGGCGUGCCUAACACAUGACAAGUCGAGCGGUAACAGGUGUAGCAAUACAUGCUGACGAGCGGCGAACGGGUGAGUAAUGCUUCGGAAUCUGCCCAUGUAGUGGGGAAUAACCAGCCGAAAGGUUGGCUAAUACCGCAUACGACCUACGGGUGAAAGCAGGGGAUCGCAAGACCUUGCGCUAUUGGAUGAGCCGAAGUCGGAUUAGCNGUUGGUAGGGUAACGGCCUACCAAGGCGACGAUCCGUAGCUGGUCUGAGAGGACGACCAGCCACACUGUGACUGAGACACGGCCCAGACU